CCUACGGGAGGCAGCAGUGGGGAAUAUUGCACAAUGGGGGAAACCCUGAUGCAGCGACGCCGCGUGAGUGAAGAAGUAUUUCGGUACGUAAAGCUCUGUCAGCAGGGAAGAAAAUGACGGUAACUAACGAAGAAGCUCCGGCUAACUACGUGCCAGCAGCCGCGGUAAUACGUAGGGGGCAAGCGUUGUCCGGAUUUACUGGGUGUAAAGGGUGCGUAGGCGGGCGUGCAAGUCUGGAGUGAAAGCCACGGGCUUAACCCCGGGACUGCUUUUGAAACUGGGCGGCUGGAGUGCAGUAGAGGUAAGCGGAAUUCCUGGUGUAGCGGUGAAAUGCGUAGAUAUUAGGAGGAACACCAGUGGCGAAGGCGGCUUACUGGACUGUAACUGACGUUGAGGCUCGAAAGCGUGGGGAGCAAACAGGAUUAGAUACCCCAGUAGUC
Molecule: ribosomal RNA, 440 nt
Filed under: uncultured bacterium
Lineage: Bacteria
Description: partial 16S ribosomal RNA
Rfam family: Bacterial small subunit ribosomal RNA
Source: RNAcentral